RNAcentral lists this ribosomal RNA (2107 nucleotides) under Escherichia coli P0301867.1. RNAcentral describes it as "bacterial LSU rRNA". It matches the Rfam family "Bacterial large subunit ribosomal RNA", at positions 1 to 2135 of the family's 2925-position model. The record is from RNAcentral. Lineage: Bacteria; Pseudomonadati; Pseudomonadota; Gammaproteobacteria; Enterobacterales; Enterobacteriaceae.
UUAAGCGACUAAGCGUACACGGUGGAUGCCCUGGCAGUCAGAGGCGAUGAAGGACGUGCUAAUCUGCGAUAAGCGUCGGUAAGGUGAUAUGAACCGUUAUAACCGGCGAUUUCCGAAUGGGGAAACCCAGUGUGUUUCGACACACUAUCAUUAACUGAAUCCAUAGGUUAAUGAGGCAACCGGGGGAACUGAAACAUCUAAGUACCCCGAGGAAAAGAAAUCAACCGAGAUUACCCCCAGUAGCGGCGAGCGAACGGGGAGCAGCCCAGAGUCUGAAUCAGUGUGUGUGUUAGUGGAAGCGUCUGGAAAGGCGCGCGAUACAGGGUGACAGCCCCGUACACAAAAAUGCACAUAUUGUGAGCUCGAUGAGUAGGGCGGGACACGUGGUAUCCUGUCUGAAUAUGGGGGGACCAUCCUCCAAGGCUAAAUACUCCUGACUGACCGAUAGUGAACCAGUACCGUGAGGGAAAGGCGAAAAGAACCCCGGCGAGGGGAGUGAAAAAGAACCUGAAACCGUGUACGUACAAGCAGUGGGAGCCUCUUUUAUGGGGUGACCGCGUACCUUUUGUAUAAUGGGUCAGCGACUUAUAUUCUGUAGCAAGGUUAACCGAAUAGGGGAGCCGAAGGGAAACCGAGUCUUAACUGGGCGUUAAGUUGCAGGGUAUAGACCCGAAACCCGGUGAUCUAGCCAUGGGCAGGUUGAAGGUUGGGUAACACUAACUGGAGGACCGAACCGACUAAUGUUGAAAAAUUAGCGGAUGACUUGUGGCUGGGGGUGAAAGGCCAAUCAAACCGGGAGAUAGCUGGUUCUCCCCGAAAGCUAUUUAGGUAGCGCCUCGUGAAUUCAUCUCCGGGGGUAGAGCACUGUUUCGGCAAGGGGGUCAUCCCGACUUACCAACCCGAUGCAAACUGCGAAUACCGGAGAAUGUUAUCACGGGAGACACACGGCGGGUGCUAACGUCCGUCGUGAAGAGGGAAACAACCCAGACCGCCAGCUAAGGUCCCAAAGUCAUGGUUAAGUGGGAAACGAUGUGGGAAGGCCCAGACAGCCAGGAUGUUGGCUUAGAAGCAGCCAUCAUUUAAAGAAAGCGUAAUAGCUCACUGGUCGAGUCGGCCUGCGCGGAAGAUGUAACGGGGCUAAACCAUGCACCGAAGCUGCGGCAGCGACGCUUAUGCGUUGUUGGGUAGGGGAGCGUUCUGUAAGCCUGUGAAGGUGUGCUGUGAGGCAUGCUGGAGGUAUCAGAAGUGCGAAUGCUGACAUAAGUAACGAUAAAGCGGGUGAAAAGCCCGCUCGCCGGAAGACCAAGGGUUCCUGUCCAACGUUAAUCGGGGCAGGGUGAGUCGACCCCUAAGGCGAGGCCGAAAGGCGUAGUCGAUGGGAAACAGGUUAAUAUUCCUGUACUUGGUGUUACUGCGAAGGGGGGACGGAGAAGGCUAUGUUGGUCGGGCGACGGUUGUCCCGGUUUAAGCGUGUAGGCUGGUUUUCCAGGCAAAUCCGGAAAAUCAAGGCUGAGGCGUGAUGACGAGGCACUACGGUGCUGAAGCAACAAAUGCCCUGCUUCCAGGAAAAGCCUCUAAGCAUCAGGUAACAUCAAAUCGUACCCCAAACCGACACAGGUGGUCAGGUAGAGAAUACCAAGGCGCUUGAGAGAACUCGGGUGAAGGAACUAGGCAAAAUGGUGCCGUAACUUCGGGAGAAGGCACGCUGAUAUGUAGGUGAAGUCCCUCGCGGAUGGAGCUGAAAUCAGUCGAAGAUACCAGCUGGCUGCAACUGUUUAUUAAAAACACAGCACUGUGCAAACACGAAAGUGGACGUAUACGGUGUGACGCCUGCCCGGUGCCGGAAGGUUAAUUGAUGGGGUCAGCGCAAGCGAAGCUCUUGAUCGAAGCCCCGGUAAACGGCGGCCGUAACUAUAACGGUCCUAAGGUAGCGAAAUUCCUUGUCGGGUAAGUUCCGACCUGCACGAAUGGCGUAAUGAUGGCCAGGCUGUCUCCACCCGAGACUCAGUGAAAUUGAACUCGCUGUGAAGAUGCAGUGUACCCGCGGCAAGACGGAAAGACCCCGUGAACCUUUACUAUAGCUUGACACUGAACAUUGAGCCUUGAU